RNAcentral lists this ribosomal RNA (213 nucleotides) under uncultured Geothermobacter sp. RNAcentral's name for it is "partial 16S ribosomal RNA". It matches the Rfam family "Bacterial small subunit ribosomal RNA", at positions 1169 to 1382 of the family's 1533-position model. Lineage: Bacteria; Pseudomonadati; Thermodesulfobacteriota; Desulfuromonadia; Desulfuromonadales; Geothermobacteraceae. The record is from RNAcentral.
GGAAGUGGGGAUGACGUCAAGUCCCAUGGCCCUUAUAUCCAGGGCUACACACGUGCUACAAUGGCCGGUACAAAGGGUCGCAAUACCGCGAGGUGGAGCUAAUCCCAAAAAGCCGGUCUCAGUUCGGAUUGGAGUCUGCAACUCGACUCCAUGAAGUCGGAAUCGCUAGUAAUCGCGUAUCAGCGUGACGCGGUGAAUACGUUCCCGGGCCUU